UGGGCAGUAGCUUAGUGGAAGAGCUCCCGCUUAGUAUGCGGGAAGAUCUGGGUUCGAUUCCCGGCUUCUUAC
Toxocara canis (dog roundworm) is the source of this 72-nucleotide transfer RNA. It matches the Rfam family "tRNA". From Rfam's summary of the family: Transfer RNA (tRNA) molecules are approximately 80 nucleotides in length. Their secondary structure includes four short double-helical elements and three loops (D, anti-codon, and T loops). The record is from Rfam. NCBI's taxonomy places the organism in Eukaryota, Metazoa, Nematoda, Chromadorea, Rhabditida, Toxocaridae.